UUUUUAAUUUUUUAUAAUGGGCUUUGUUUUGGGCCCUUAUUUUUUUAAAUAUGGUAUUCAAUACGCAUUUUAAUCAGAUUUUUAGGGCAAAUUCAAUUUUUUCGCCGGAAUUCUCUUUUUAGGGUUCUAUGUCAAAAGUAUUUGCCUUUUAGGUUUUGAAGGAAAAAAAGGUUCUUUGCUUAGUUCUUUUGAGAAUCAAAUUCAGGGGUUUUUUAUUUGUUGGCUAUUUAUCGAAGCUUUGAUUUUUCUACGGCGAGUGGAAGCUGAGGUAAAAAUUAGAUGAAGUCUCAGGUGAAUCGAUAGAAGGAUGAAGGCAACUGGCGGCGGAACACAACCGGCGAACCCUUCGUAUUUAUGUUGUAUGUAUAUUCAUUUUCUUGAUUUCUUCAUACAAAUCCCUGUAGACAUCGUAGAUUCUAUCAUACUUUUUGGUCUUUUUCAGUAUACUUUUUGAUUUUCAUGUUCUUUUAAAAAAUUAAGAACCUCCAACUGCUUUGGGAAUUUUCACAGGCAAACAGAAGAAGGCAUAAACCCAGAGCUAUGGCAAGCUUGCGUUGGUCCACUGGUAAACCUGUCGGCAGCUGGGGAUUCUUCAGUCGGUUUCGUUUUGCCUCAGAGCCUCCUCUUCUUUCACUCAGACAUCUCCCAAGGCAAGUUUUUUCAGAAAAAAAUUAACUAAUAUUGUAUCUUGAUUAUGUAUAAUUAUUUAAAUUCUAUUGUUGUUAUACAGUAAUUGCAAAUUUUAUUGACGUUUUAAUUGGAAAAUUUUGUUGCCCAGAUGGACUCUGAGAGCUAUAUGUUUGGACCCUAUAAGAUCGACUCAAAGGAAGUGUUUUACUAUACAGAGAAUGUUUCAAUAUCGGGCAACGUUGGGCUACUAGUUGCGGCGAGGGUGUUGGAGGUUUACAUACUAUUCUUCUUUUUUUCAUUUUUGUUUUUCACUAGGGAAGUGAUACAAUUUUCAUAUUAAUGGCGAUUAGGAAUCAGAGGUUGAUCACCACACUCUCCCCUUUCUGCCCUAAAUCCUGUCAUUCCUGUCUCUUUUUUUAGUAGACAUUUUGGUUUGUCUUCCUUUAUUUUGUUUAUCACAUAAUGAAUUUUAUUGAAUGGUGUUGCGUUCAUCUAUGUGAAAGAAUUAGAAUUUUCAAUUGAUAUUUGAUGUUAAUAUUUGUUUGGUUCAAUUUUGACAGUCGCGAUAGGUUGCAUUUUGAUUAUUGAAGUUUCUCCCAGCCUCCCCUCCCGCAUUGAAAUGAUACUCCCAAUAAUUAU
Molecule: long non-coding RNA, 1269 nt
Filed under: Olea europaea (common olive)
Lineage: Eukaryota; Viridiplantae; Streptophyta; Magnoliopsida; Lamiales; Oleaceae
Description: long non-coding RNA (OEUR_LNC010704)
Source: RNAcentral